This 154-nucleotide non-coding RNA is filed under the name Conidiobolus coronatus NRRL 28638. Its description in RNAcentral is "Eukaryotic large subunit ribosomal RNA". It matches the Rfam family "Eukaryotic large subunit ribosomal RNA", at positions 3007 to 3161 of the family's 3401-position model. Lineage: Eukaryota; Fungi; Entomophthoromycota; Entomophthoromycetes; Entomophthorales; Conidiobolaceae. The record is from Rfam by way of RNAcentral.
GUUUUUUGGACAAUAAUUCUAUUUGGUUCUAGAGAAGCCGUUAAUUCAUAUCUCUAGUUUAUGUAUUGACUAUACAGUCAGUGCCGCGAAGUUACCAUUUGAUGGAUUAUGACCGAAUGCCUUUAGGUCGGAAUUUGAACUGAAAGAAGGCGAU